CGCGCAUGGUGGAUUCACAAUCCACUGCCUUGAUCCACUGGGCUACAUCCGCCCC
RNAcentral lists this transfer RNA (55 nucleotides) under Odontadenia sp. ITV658. RNAcentral's name for it is "partial tRNA-His". The record is from RNAcentral. Lineage: Eukaryota; Viridiplantae; Streptophyta; Magnoliopsida; Gentianales; Apocynaceae.